UAAGCGACUAAGCGUACACGGUGGAUGCCCUGGCAGUCAGAGGCGAUGAAGGACGUGCUAAUCUGCGAUAAGCGUCGGUAAGGUGAUAUGAACCGUUAUAACCGGCGAUUUCCGAAUGGGGAAACCCAGUGUGUUUCGACACACUAUCAUUAACUGAAUCCAUAGGUUAAUGAGGCGAACCGGGGGAACUGAAACAUCUAAGUACCCCGAGGAAAAGAAAUCAACCGAGAUUCCCCAGUAGCGGCGAGCGAACGGGGAGCAGCCCAGAGCCUGAAUCAGUAUGUGUGUUAGUGGAAGCGUCUGGAAAGGCGCGCGAUACAGGGUGACAGCCCCGUACACAAAAAUGCACAUAUUGUGAGCUCGAUGAGUAGGGCGGGACACGUGGUAUCCUGUCUGAAUAUGGGGGGACCAUCCUCCAAGGCUAAAUACUCCUGACUGACCGAUAGUGAACCAGUACCGUGAGGGAAAGGCGAAAAGAACCCCGGCGAGGGGAGUGAAAAAGAACCUGAAACCGUGUACGUACAAGCAGUGGGAGCACGCUUAGGCGUGUGACUGCGUACCUUUUGUAUAAUGGGUCAGCGACUUAUAUUCUGUAGCAAGGUUAACCGAAUAGGGGAGCCGAAGGGAAACCGAGUCUUAACUGGGCGUUAAGUUGCAGGGUAUAGACCCGAAACCCGGUGAUCUAGCCAUGGGCAGGUUGAAGGUUGGGUAACACUAACUGGAGGACCGAACCGACUAAUGUUGAAAAAUUAGCGGAUGACUUGUGGCUGGGGGUGAAAGGCCAAUCAAACCGGGAGAUAGCUGGUUCUCCCCGAAAGCUAUUUAGGUAGCGCCUCGUGAAUUCAUCUCCGGGGUAGAGCACUGUUUCGGCAAGGGGGUCAUCCCGACUUACCAACCCGAUGCAAACUGCGAAUACCGGAGAAUGUUAUCACGGGAGACACACGGCGGGUGCUAACGUCCGUCGUGAAGAGGGAAACAACCCAGACCGCCAGCUAAGGUCCCAAAGUCAUGGUUAAGUGGGAAACGAUGUGGGAAGGCCCAGACAGCCAGGAUGUUGGCUUAGAAGCAGCCAUCAUUUAAAGAAAGCGUAAUAGCUCACUGGUCGAGUCGGCCUGCGCGGAAGAUGUAACGGGGCUAAACCAUGCACCGAAGCUGCGGCAGCGACGCUUAUGCGUUGUUGGGUAGGGGAGCGUUCUGUAAGCCUGUGAAGGUGUGCUGUGAGGCAUGCUGGAGGUAUCAGAAGUGCGAAUGCUGACAUAAGUAACGAUAAAGCGGGUGAAAAGCCCGCUCGCCGGAAGACCAAGGGUUCCUGUCCAACGUUAAUCGGGGCAGGGUGAGUCGACCCCUAAGGCGAGGCCGAAAGGCGUAGUCGAUGGGAAACAGGUUAAUAUUCCUGUACUUGGUGUUACUGCGAAGGGGGACGGAGAAGGCUAUGUUGGCCGGGCGACGGUUGUCCCGGUUUAAGCGUGUAGGCUGGUUUUCCAGGCAAAUCCGGAAAAUCAAGGCUGAGGCGUGAUGACGAGGCACUACGGUGCUGAAGCAACAAAUGCCCUGCUUCCAGGAAAAGCCUCUAAGCAUCAGGUAACAUCAAAUCGUACCCCAAACCGACACAGGUGGUCAGGUAGAGAAUACCAAGGCGCUUGAGAGAACUCGGGUGAAGGAACUAGGCAAAAUGGUGCCGUAACUUCGGGAGAAGGCACGCUGAUAUGUAGGUGAAGUCCCUCGCGGAUGGAGCUGAAAUCAGUCGAAGAUACCAGCUGGCUGCAACUGUUUAUUAAAAACACAGCACUGUGCAAACACGAAAGUGGACGUAUACGGUGUGACGCCUGCCCGGUGCCGGAAGGUUAAUUGAUGGGGUUAGCCGCAAGGCGAAGCUCUUGAUCGAAGCCCCGGUAAACGGCGGCCGUAACUAUAACGGUCCUAAGGUAGCGAAAUUCCUUGUCGGGUAAGUUCCGACCUGCACGAAUGGCGUAAUGAUGGCCAGGCUGUCUCCACCCGAGACUCAGUGAAAUUGAACUCGCUGUGAAGAUGCAGUGUACCCGCGGCAAGACGGAAAGACCCCGUGAACCUUUACUAUAGCUUGACACUGAACAUUGAGCCUUGAUGUGUAGGAUAGGUGGGAGGCUUAGAAGUGUGGACGCCAGUCUGCAUGGAGCCGACCUUGAAAUACCACCCUUUAAUGUUUGAUGUUCUAACGUUGACCCGUAAUCCGGGUUGCGGACAGUGUCUGGUGGGUAGUUUGACUGGGGCGGUCUCCUCCUAAAGAGUAACGGAGGAGCACGAAGGUUGGCUAAUCCUGGUCGGACAUCAGGAGGUUAGUGCAAUGGCAUAAGCCAGCUUGACUGCGAGCGUGACGGCGCGAGCAGGUGCGAAAGCAGGUCAUAGUGAUCCGGUGGUUCUGAAUGGAAGGGCCAUCGCUCAACGGAUAAAAGGUACUCCGGGGAUAACAGGCUGAUACCGCCCAAGAGUUCAUAUCGACGGCGGUGUUUGGCACCUCGAUGUCGGCUCAUCACAUCCUGGGGCUGAAGUAGGUCCCAAGGGUAUGGCUGUUCGCCAUUUAAAGUGGUACGCGAGCUGGGUUUAGAACGUCGUGAGACAGUUCGGUCCCUAUCUGCCGUGGGCGCUGGAGAACUGAGGGGGGCUGCUCCUAGUACGAGAGGACCGGAGUGGACGCAUCACUGGUGUUCGGGUUGUCAUGCCAAUGGCACUGCCCGGUAGCUAAAUGCGGAAGAGAUAAGUGCUGAAAGCAUCUAAGCACGAAACUUGCCCCGAGAUGAGUUCUCCCUGACUCCUUGAGAGUCCUGAAGGAACGUUGAAGACGACGACGUUGAUAGGCCGGGUGUGUAAGCGCAGCGAUGCGUUGAGCUAACCGGUACUAAUGAACCGUGAGGCUUAACCU
This 2899-nucleotide ribosomal RNA is filed under the name Escherichia coli. RNAcentral's name for it is "bacterial LSU rRNA". It matches the Rfam family "Bacterial large subunit ribosomal RNA". The record is from RNAcentral. Lineage: Bacteria; Pseudomonadati; Pseudomonadota; Gammaproteobacteria; Enterobacterales; Enterobacteriaceae.